RNAcentral lists this ribosomal RNA (403 nucleotides) under uncultured Eubacteriales bacterium. RNAcentral's name for it is "uncultured Clostridiales bacterium partial 16S ribosomal RNA". It matches the Rfam family "Bacterial small subunit ribosomal RNA", at positions 355 to 774 of the family's 1533-position model. The record is from RNAcentral. Lineage: Bacteria; Bacillati; Bacillota; Clostridia; Eubacteriales.
UGGGGAAUAUUGCACAAUGGGCGCAAGCCUGAUGCAGCAACGCCGCGUGAAGGAAGAAGGGUUUCGGCUCGUAAACUUCUUUAGGCAGGGACGAAUUUUGACGGUACCUGCAGAAUAAGCCCCGGCUAACUACGUGCCAGCAGCCGCGGUAAUACGUAGGGGGCAAGCGUUAUCCGGAAUGACUGGGUGUAAAGGGUGAGUAGGCGGCCAGGCAAGUCAUAUGUGAAAUCCCGAAGCUUAACUUCGGGACUGCAUAAGAAACUGUCGGGCUAGAGUACAGGAGAGGUAAGCGGAAUUCCUAGUGUAGCGGUGAAAUGCGUAGAUAUUAGGAAGAACACCAGUGGCGAAGGCGGCUUACUGGACUGAAACUGACGCUGAGUCACGAAAGCGUGGGGAGCGAACA